GUGAUUUUCAAUUAUACGUACUGCUUCUUCAGUGAACAAAUCCGUGGCGUAUUGGUUGCGAAUGUCGUGAGCCGGACAAUCAUCUCGAUGCAAAUCGAACCCACUGGCAUUCUGGAAUAUUUAUAAAGAAAUAUACAAACCCAUCCGUAUCGGAUAUUUCCCCGACAUAAAUGCAGCUCUGGUUGGCGUACAUGACGGCAGUGUGUAAUGUCUAUUCAAUAUUAUCCCGUUGUAAGCCAGAGCAUCAAUGUUCGGCGUAAAAAUUUGACUGGAUCCAUGGAAACUUACGUCAUUCCAUCCCUAUGCAUUUAUAGAUUAAUUAGGGCAAGUGUGGACAUAUAAUAUGAAGAUGAUGAUGAUGAUGAUUAUAUACAGCGUUGUAUAACUGGUAUAGCGGUACAGUUGUCUUAGCGACUUUGAAGAAAAUAAUUAUUUGUUGUGUCGGUUGUUGUGAGUCAUCAUCCGAAGAGCAUCCUCAUUGACCAUGUGGGCGUUGAUAACAUAACGUGUCAGCCUUUAGUAAUUGUCUUAACUAAGGCUCUCAUUAAUUCAAGACAAUUUUAUACUACAGAGUAAUCAUAUCAAAUUAAAUAUGUAGAUAUAUGAAGGAAGAAAAUAUUUUAAUUUCCUAUUUUGUUAACUUCAAUUUGAAUUAGGAUGCCUGAAAAAAAUACUAAGUGGACCAGAUUGAUAAUAACAAGAAGAAAUAUAAUGAUAAUGAUGAUGAAGGUUAAGAUGGGCAUUUAUUUAUA
Cotesia glomerata is the source of this 752-nucleotide long non-coding RNA. RefSeq lists it as uncharacterized. The record is from RefSeq and is a predicted model, not a curated record. The transcript is spliced from 3 exons. NCBI's taxonomy places the organism in Eukaryota, Metazoa, Arthropoda, Insecta, Hymenoptera, Braconidae.